UACGUCUAGCUGCAUAACUGGUCGCGGUUAUUUGUGUACGUGUGCCCACUGCAAAUGUAUGUGGAGUGCGAGUGAAUUGAGAUAUUAGAACAGUCAUCGAAUCAUUUUUAACGCGUGAUUCUUCGAAAACUCAUCGAUAACCGACAGUUCUAUUACGUUUCUGCGUUUUUAUUGGUGUUGUAGACGCACGGUUGUGUACGAUGCUUUACAACACGUGUGUGGUAUCGACUUACAAUGGCUGCCAGAAGUAUUUGCACACUAUUGGCUCUAUCGUCAUAUUAAUUAUUUGACUACGAGAGAUGUUAAAUUUUAUAUCAUUUAGUAGCGUUCUCACGCAACUGCAAAAAUGUAAUAUCGCGGAUAUCAUGACACAGAAUCUGGUAAAAAAUGCUUCAUUGGAAAAUAAAUAUGUGCCGCUACUUUUCGUAGUUACUGUAAAUGGUGGAACAUUUCACGGAAUGUCCACUAUGAUUUAUACAUAUUAUCUACGUAAAACUUUAUGACAUAGAAAAAAGCUUUGUUGGUGUUGAUGAAGAUCACUUGUUAACAAUUGUAGACAAAUGUUAAUGAAAAGCUCUCGACAGUGUUAAUGAGUGGGUAAGAGAAAGUAGAAAAGAUUGAUAAGAAUCCAGAAGAAAAUAUCCAAUUGGAAUGUAAAAGAAUACAAAAUUUCUCUGUCCAUUACAACAACUACGCUUGCUACGUUUUUGCAAUAAAAUAGCAAUUAUAAGUCAACUAUAAAUGAUUUAUUUCAUCGUUUAAGUGGAAAUAACAGAAGACAAAGUGGAUUUAAAAGACAGCUAAGUUUCUUCAUUUUUGUAUUAUAAGACAUUACGAUAUAGAAAUAAUAUAACAAUUGUUGUAGUUGCCAGCGUAUGAAGAUGAAGGGAAUUCAUUUUACUUCUCUUCAAAUCCAUAUUACGGAUUACAAAUUUUGUACAUUUGCAAAAAUACAUCGCACUGAGUUCGAAGAAGAUAAAAUUAGAUAAUUUCUCCGAUAAAAUCAGCUGGUUUGUACUAUCGAUUCUAAGAACAGCGGAUAAUUCGUAAAAAAAACGAACUGAAUUCUUUAGAAUUCUAUAUAAGAAUCUCAUCCAUUCACUGAUAUGCCAGUUUCAGUCGAGCCUGGUUUGCGUUUUUUUAUUCUACGAUAAUUGUAUCUGUAUUUUUAUCAGUAAUCUUUAUUCUUUGACGUAAACUACUGAAACUGAGAUUAAACAAUGAACAAAAUUAAGUCAAAUUAUUCUAGUCGCUUUUAACUUAACAGUACCAGAGUCAGGGAUUGAUAUAGUACAAAUAUUUAUCAUAAAACGUUAGACAUUUUAUUCGAUAUUGUAUCGUUCAAAUAACCAUUAAUUUUAAGGGUUCGUGAAAAUUUAUAAACACCAUUCUAAAUAUUCUAAAGCAUUUAAAUAAUUCUGUAGUGUUAUUACAUACGCAUCUAACCUGAAAAAAUUAUGUCAUAAUUUUAUACCGUGCGAAAAGAUCACAUUUUCAACUUCUCUUUCGAUAAUUUAUUUUUUAACAAGCAUAAUAAAUGUAGAAAUAUUUUCUCGCUUAAAUGAUAUUUUCCACUUUUUAAUUUUUAUAUUUAAAAGUUAAAGAAUUUCUGUUAUAUGUUCGAGCAAUUUGUCUAUAAAUAAAAAUUGUGACUAUAAAUUAUAGUUAUAAAUUAGUCGGAUGACUCCCCGCAGAAACUGAUAAAUAGAUAAACCGUCGUUCCAACAGCAAGUGCAUUUGAAUACAAAGUAGAAGUAAUCAUAGAACUUUUGAUGACACAAUUACUUGGACAAGAAAAACAAUAUUUUCAUCUCAUCUCGCGUACUAAAUAAUGGUUGGGUAAGUGUUGAAAUCAUUUUUUAUUUAUCCGCAGUAGAUAUUACACAGCGCGCAAUAACAUGAAUCACAUUUUAUCGAAUUUAUCAUAUUAUUAUUAUUCAACUUCAUAAUGUGUGUUAAAAAAGAUAAAGAAGCGGAAGCGACUCACUUUUAGAUCACAUCUCUAUAUUUUCUAUUUAUUAAAAAUAUUUAACAAAAUAUAUACUAAAAUACAUGCAAAAUCAUAUACAGUAAAUAACGGCAUUUUCAAUUAAAAAAUUUUCUUUGUAACAAAUUAAUUAAUCUUCCAUCGAUAAUCAAACAAUUUCCAUCGACAAUAUUGAGAUAACGUUCAAUUAAUUUGUAUUUUUCAAAAUUUCCUGUUUUCGUCUGUGUUGCAAAUUUCGAUACAGUAACGAUAAUAUUUGAAGGAAAAAAUCCAAACUCAAACGUGAUAUUAAGCAUUAAUUUCGCGUCAGAGUUUCAUAGUUUGGAACAACACAAAAAUUUUACAAUAUUUCAGCGCUGGCGUAUAAAUUUAAUUUUCGUGUUCUGUAUUUUAAAUAAAUGUACAAAGAGCAAAAGUAACAUACUACGCCAUGCAAAAGUAUCGUUUCUAAAUACAAAGGCUAUGCAAGUCUUUUAUUUAUAGACGAAAAAAUAGCUAAUUUCUGUAUCAUAGAGAUAUUGCCAUAUCUAACUAAAGAAACAAUUUUCCAAUUUCAGACUCGUGCGUUUCCACAAAAUCAUAAGGCUCAAAGUAUAACGAGAUCGAGCUGAAGUUCCCUGUCGGAUUAGUUGUUAACACGAUAGAAUUUGCUAGUCGAUAUAAACUCUGUUCGACCUGUAUCUAUAAAUCCUGUAAUUAAUUUGAAGUUGUCCUAAUUCUUGCAUUGCUAGCGCGGAAAAAUCCACCUGCCUAAAUACAAAACAACAAUACGCAUCAUGCUCAUUUAUCCACAAUGCAUACACACUUGUAACAAUUUUUUAAUUCGAUACAUAUACGAGUGUAAGUAUUCAAAUUUUAUCAUCCAAGCCAUCAAUCGCUUAUAACGUAAUGAAACGAAUCCACUCGAUUCAGCGCUCGAAUCGUAUCGACCUUUUUGAUAAUCGAUGUUUCAAGACCCAUAUUAAUAUAUAUUGCGAUCGUAUUCCUGGAAAUGCACUCGUUUGUAACGGUGAAAUUGAAUAACAAAUUUUAAUUUGCAUUGUAUUAAUUGUUUUCAGCCUCCUCGUUUGUAAAAAUCAGAUUGAAUAACAAAUUUUAGUUCGUAUUACAUUAAUUCGUUUCACUCUGUUGGCCUUAGUUUUAUAUGGUUUAUAAACAUAAAACAAAACUAGAACUAAGCCUACAGAUUUUUAGUUUGAAAACUAAAACUAAACUUCUAAGUUAUAGUUAAGUAACCUCGUUUGUAACAAUCAGAUUGAAUAAGAAAUUUUAGUUCGUAUUGUAUUAAUUCGUUGCACUCUGCUGGCCUAAAGAUUGGACUUGGUUUUACAUGGUUUAUAAACAUAAAGCAAAACUAGAACUAAGCCUACAGAUUUUUAGUUUGGAAACUAAAACUAAAUUUCCAAGUUUUAGUUAAGUACCCACGUCUGUAACAGUCAGAAUAACACAAUUUGAAAACAAA
This is a long non-coding RNA of Bombus pyrosoma, 3449 nucleotides long. RefSeq lists it as uncharacterized. NCBI's taxonomy places the organism in Eukaryota, Metazoa, Arthropoda, Insecta, Hymenoptera, Apidae. The transcript has 3 exons. The record is from RefSeq and is a predicted model, not a curated record.